Molecule: transfer RNA, 65 nt
Filed under: Meretrix lusoria
Lineage: Eukaryota; Metazoa; Mollusca; Bivalvia; Venerida; Veneridae
Description: tRNA-Asn
Rfam family: tRNA
About the family: Transfer RNA (tRNA) molecules are approximately 80 nucleotides in length.
Source: RNAcentral
UAAGCUUUAGUUUAAUUUUAGAAUGUUUGACUGUUAAUCAAAAGGAGCUGUAAAAGCAAGCUUAG